UGGGGAAUCUUGGACAAUGGGCGAAAGCCUGAUCCAGCCAUGCCGCGUGUGUGAAGAAGGUCUUCGGAUUGUAAAGCACUUUAAGUUGGGAGGAAGGGCAGUAAGCUAAUACCUUGCUGUUUUGACGUUACCGACAGAAUAAGCACCGGCUAACUCUGUGCCAGCAGCCGCGGUAAUACAGAGGGUGCAAGCGUUAAUCGGAAUUACUGGGCGUAAAGCGCGCGUAGGUGGUUUGUUAAGUUGGAUGUGAAAGCCCCGGGCUCAACCUGGGAACUGCAUCCAAAACUGGCAAGCUAGAGUACGGUAGAGGGUGGUGGAAUUUCCUGUGUAGCGGUGAAAUGCGUAGAUAUAGGAAGGAACACCAGUGGCGAAGGCGACCACCUGGACUGAUACUGACACUGAGGUGCGAAAGCGUGGGGAGCAAACAGGAUUAGAUACCCCCGUAGUCCCUGAGCGGGCUGGCAAGGCGCAU
RNAcentral lists this ribosomal RNA (472 nucleotides) under uncultured bacterium. RNAcentral's name for it is "bacterial SSU rRNA". It matches the Rfam family "Bacterial small subunit ribosomal RNA", at positions 355 to 825 of the family's 1533-position model. The record is from RNAcentral.